GAUCAUGGCUCAGGAUGAACGCUGGCGGCGUGCAUAACACAUUCAAGUCGAACGGGGCAGCAAUGCCUAGUGGCGGACGGGUGAGUAACGCGUGAGCAACCUGCCCUUGCGUGGGGGAUACCAUCUGGAAACGGAUGUUAAUACCGCAUAAAGUACAAGCGACCGCAUGGUCGUAGUACCAAAGAUUUAUUGCGCAAGGAUGGGCUCGCGUCCCAUUAGAUAGUUGGUGAGGUAACGG
This 238-nucleotide ribosomal RNA is filed under the name uncultured bacterium. RNAcentral's name for it is "partial 16S ribosomal RNA". It matches the Rfam family "Bacterial small subunit ribosomal RNA", at positions 15 to 263 of the family's 1533-position model. The record is from RNAcentral.